Molecule: ribosomal RNA, 483 nt
Filed under: uncultured bacterium
Lineage: Bacteria
Description: partial 16S ribosomal RNA
Rfam family: Bacterial small subunit ribosomal RNA
Source: RNAcentral
GACGAACGCUGGCGGCGCGCUUAACACAUGCAAGUCGAACGGUGAAGGUGGAGCUUGCUCCGCCGGAUCAGUGGCGAACGGGUGAGUAACACGUGGGCAACCUGCCCCAGACUUCGGGAUAACUCCUCGAAAGUGGCGCUAAUACCGGAUACGAGUUCUGCAGGCAUCUGCGGGAUUGGAAAGUUUUUCGGUCUGGGAUGGGCCCGCGGCCUAUCAGCUUGUUGGUGAGGUAACGGCUCACCAAGGCGACGACGGGUAGCCGGCCUGAGAGGGCGAGCGGCCACACUGGGACUGAGACACGGCCCAGACUCCUACGGGAGGCAGCAGUGGGGAAUAUUGCGCAAUGGGCGAAAGCCUGACGCAGCAACGCCGCGUGCGGGAUGAAGGCCUUCGGGUUGUAAACCGCUUCCAGCAGGGAAGAAGCGAAAGUGACGGUACCUGCAGAAGAAGCACCGGCUAACUACGUGCCAGCCGCCGCAGUAA